Molecule: ribosomal RNA, 253 nt
Filed under: uncultured bacterium
Lineage: Bacteria
Description: partial 16S ribosomal RNA
Rfam family: Bacterial small subunit ribosomal RNA
Source: RNAcentral
UACGUAGGGUGCAAGCGUUGUCCGGAAUUAUUGGGCGUAAAGAGCUCGUAGGCGGUCUGCUACGUCCGCUGUGAAAACCUAGGGCUUAACCCUGGGCUUGCAGUAGAUACGGGCAGACUAGAGGUAGGUAGGGGAGAAUGGAAUUCCCGGUGUAGCGGUGAAAUGCGCAGAUAUCGGGAGGAACACCGGUGGCGAAGGCGGUUCUCUGGGCCUUACCUGACGCUGAGGAGCGAAAGCGUGGGGAGCGAACAGG